GAGUGGCGGACGGGUGAGUAACACGUGGGUAACCUGCCCAGAAGCAGGGGAUAACACCUGGAAACAGAUGCUAAUACCGUAUAACAGAGAAAACCGCCUGGUUUUCUUUUAAAAGAUGGCUCUGCUAUCACUUCUGGAUGGACCCGCGGCGCAUUAGCUAGUUGGUGAGGUAACGGCUCACCAAGGCGAUGAUGCGUAGCCGACCUGAGAGGGUAAUCGGCCACAUUGGGACUGAGACACGGCCCAGACUCCUACGGGAGGCAGCAGUAGGGAAUCUUCCACAAUGGACGCAAGUCUGAUGGAGCAACGCCGCGUGAGUGAAGAAGGGUUUCGGCUCGUAAAGCUCUGUUGUUAAAGAAGAACGUGGGUGAGAGUAACUGUUCACCCAGUGACGGUAUUUAACCAGAAAGCCACGGCUAACUACGUGCCAGCAGCCGCGGUAAUACGUAGGUGGCAAGCGUUAUCCGGAUUUAUUGGGCGUAAAGCGAGCGCAGGCGGUCUUUUAAGUCUAAUGUGAAAGCCUUCGGCUCAACCGAAGAAGUGCAUUGGAAACUGGGAGACUUGAGUGCAGAAGAGGACAGUGGAACUCCAUGUGUAGCGGUGAAAUGCGUAGAUAUAUGGAAGAACACCAGUGGCGAAGGCGGCUGUCUGGUCUGUAACUGACGCUGAGGCUCGAAAGCAUGGGUAGCGAACAGGAUUAGAUACCCUGGUAGUCCAUGCCGUAAACGAUGAUUACUAAGUGUUGGAGGGUUUCCGCCCUUCAGUGCUGCAGCUAACGCAUUAAGUAAUCCGCCUGGGGAGUACGACCGCAAGGUUGAAACUCAAAAGAAUUGACGGGGGCCCGCACAAGCGGUGGAGCAUGUGGUUUAAUUCGAAGCUACGCGAAGAACCUUACCAGGUCUUGACAUCUUCUGCCAACCUAAGAGAUUAGGCGUUCCCUUCGGGGACAGAAUGACAGGUGGUGCAUGGUUGUCGUCAGCUCGUGUCGUGAGAUGUUGGGUUAAGUCCCGCAACGAGCGCAACCCUUAUUACUAGUUGCCAGCAUUCAGUUGGGCACUCUAGUGAGACUGCCGGUGACAAACCGGAGGAAGGUGGGGACGACGUCAAAUCAUCAUGCCCCUUAUGACCUGGGCUACACACGUGCUACAAUGGAUGGUACAACGAGUCGCGAAACCGCGAGGUUUAGCUAAUCUCUUAAAACCAUUCUCAGUUCGGACUGUAGGCUGCAACUCGCCUACACGAAGUCGGAAUCGCUAGUAAUCGCGGAUCAGCAUGCCGCGGUGAAUACGUUCCCGGGCCUUGUACACACCGCCCGUCACACCAUGAGAGUUUGUAACACCCAAAGCCGGUGGGGUAACCUUUUAGGAGCUAGCCGUCUAAGGUGG
RNAcentral lists this ribosomal RNA (1385 nucleotides) under Pediococcus acidilactici. Its description in RNAcentral is "16S ribosomal RNA". It matches the Rfam family "Bacterial small subunit ribosomal RNA", at positions 93 to 1465 of the family's 1533-position model. Lineage: Bacteria; Bacillati; Bacillota; Bacilli; Lactobacillales; Lactobacillaceae. The record is from RNAcentral.